UCUUGGAACAGUAGGACUCAU
This 21-nucleotide non-coding RNA is filed under the name Caenorhabditis elegans. The record is from RNAcentral. Lineage: Eukaryota; Metazoa; Nematoda; Chromadorea; Rhabditida; Rhabditidae.